CACCUACGGGAGGCUGCAGUCGAGAAUCUUUAUCAAUGGGCGAAAGCCUGAAUAUGCGACGCCGCGUGCGGGAUGAAGGCCCUAGGGUUGUAAACCGCUGUCAGGGGUUAGGAAUCGCGAGGGUGUGAACAACACCUUUGCCUGACCAACCCCAGAGGAAGCCAUGGCUAACUCCGUGCCAGCAGCCGCGGUAACACGGAGAUGGCAAGCGUUGUUCGGAAUUACUGGGCAUAGAGCGCGCGUAGGCGGUUCCGCAAGUCAGAUGUGAAAUCCCCCGGCUCAACCGAGGAAUUGCGUUUGAAACUGCGGGGCUGGAGUGCAGAAGAGGAGAGCGGAAUUCCUGGUGGAGCGGUGAAAUGCGUAGAUAUCAGGAAGAACGCCGGAGGCGAAAGCGGCUCUCUGGUCUGUAACUGACGCUGAGGCGCGAAAGCCAAGGGAGCAAACAGGAUUAGAUACCCUGGUAGUCUUGGCUGUAAACGAUGGGCACUAAGUAGAGGAGACUCCGAUGUUUUCUCUGCCGGAGCAAAUGUAUUAAGUGCCCCGCCUGGGGAGUAUGACCGCAAGGUUAAAACUCAAAGGAAUUGACGGGGGCUCACACAAGCGGUGGAG
This 609-nucleotide ribosomal RNA is filed under the name uncultured bacterium. RNAcentral's name for it is "bacterial SSU rRNA". It matches the Rfam family "Bacterial small subunit ribosomal RNA", at positions 335 to 937 of the family's 1533-position model. The record is from RNAcentral.